RNAcentral lists this ribosomal RNA (534 nucleotides) under uncultured bacterium. RNAcentral's name for it is "bacterial SSU rRNA". It matches the Rfam family "Bacterial small subunit ribosomal RNA", at positions 772 to 1304 of the family's 1533-position model. The record is from RNAcentral.
ACUAAAUAGAUACCCCGGUAGUCCACGCCGUAAACGAUGAGUGCUAAGUGUUAGAGGGUUUCCGCCCUUUAGUGCUGCAGCUAAACGCAUUAAGCACUCCGCCUGGGGAGUACGGCCGCAAGGCUGAAACUCAAAGGAAUUGACGGGGGCCCGCACAAGCGGUGGAGCAUGUGGUUUAAUUCGAAGCAACGCGAAGAACCUUACCAGGUCUUGACAUCCUCUGACACUCCUAGAGAUAGGAUUUUCCCCUUCGGGGGACAGAGUGACAGGUGGUGCAUGGUUGUCGUCAGCUCGUGUCGUGAGAUGUUGGGUUAAGUCCCGCAACGAGCGCAACCCUUGAUCUUAGUUGCCAGCAUUCAGUUGGGCACUCUAAGGUGACUGCCGGUGACAAACCGGAGGAAGGUGGGGAUGACGUCAAAUCAUCAUGCCCCUUAUGACCUGGGCUACACACGUGCUACAAUGGAUGGUACAAAGGGCUGCAAAACCGCAAGGUCGAGCCAAUCCCAUAAAACCAUUCUCAGUUCGGAUUGCAGG